AGAGGACCCAACAGCAUGGAUGGUGCAUGCUGAGCACUUCUCAAAGGAAAACCCAUGGCAGAGGAUUCGACGAAGCCUCAUCAUGGUUUUUGAGCUGCUGUGCACAGAAAGAAGACGGCACAUCAUUUGCCAGGCCCAGGCCGGCCAGCACAGACACAUGCCUCUGCAGCACUGUAAGACAUCAGUGAAGGCUGAAGCAUUUUGCCAUCUGGGCAGCGUGGGUGGUGUGCUUUAAGUCUGGUGCUUAUGUUUCUGGAAACAGACAUACAACCAUCAGGUUGGCUAAACUUUCCUCAUGCUUUGUAUUAGAAAGGGAGAGAAUAGAUUACAGGAGACAAUGACAAUGAUAAGAUGAUUUCUAUGGGUUACUGCAAUUCAACCCCUUGUAAUAACACAUUGAUUUCAACGUUUCCCCUACACAAAGAAUUCUCAUAUGUUGCUGAUGGUAAAUGAUGCCCCAAUAUUCAGUCAAUCUAGGCAAAAAUAAAGUCCACUAAAUGAAAGAAAAUCACUCAAGCUGAAUUGGCCUCAUAUAGAAAUGGCUCAAGGGUUAAGAGAGGGAGCACAUGCUAAGAUAAAGAUUACAGGGGAAAUUGUGUUUAUUUAAUCAAGGCCCAGAUGGGCUGAAGGCAGAAACACAGCGUCCUGAUUUGCAUAACUUUUUCUCUCUGAGCCAUAAGCAAGGGCUUUUCCAAUAUCCAAGGAUAACCUCUGAAUUCAAACAAAUCAUUCUUCUGACCUAUGGCCAAUCUUUCAGCCUCACACAGAUGUCUCCCUUUAUGUAUAAGGAAGGAAUAAUCAUAUCACUCAAACUCAAAUGUUCACUUGGGAUUAACUAAUAUUUAAAGUGCUCUUCUUUUAAGAGCCACGCCAUGCAAAAGGGAAGUGGCUUAUACAUAUAAUACAGCAGUUUAUGGAAAAAGACUCCAUGGUAUGGUGGAAAAAACACUUUUCUAACAGAGCAACCUGGAUCCCAGUCCUGGUCUGCCACGGUUUAGCAACAUGACCAUGGGUAACUCACAAAAACACUGAGUCUCAGUUUCCUCAUCUAUGAAGCAAAACAUCCUUAUCUGAGGAGUUUUUCUUUGUCAAAUUACUAUAUCACCAUGACCAAUGCAUACAUAUGUAUUACAUAUGAUAGUGAUACGAUUAUUCCUUUCAUAUAGAUAGACAGAAGAUAUAGAUAGAAAAUAGAUAAUAGAAGAUAUUGAUGGACGAAAGAAGAUAUAGACAUGAAUAGAUGAUAGAGGAUAUAGACACGUAUAGUUGUGAUAAUGUAGCAUAGUUUUUUCCCAAAAUGUGAUAAAAUAAAGAAAUGUUUGACCUAAAGACUUCCCAUUUUAUUGAAAAGUAUGAAAUAUAUUGAAAAAUACAAUAAAACUAAACUGAGCCAAAGUUGUUGCAGCAACUUUACAAUUGCCUAAGUUAAAGUCGUUUUCAAAUACUUAAGUGGCAAUAUGCACUAAAAAAUAGAAUCUUUGAAAUACAAAAUUGAAGAAAUGAUGCACUGAAAGUUAUAAAAUUAUUUGUGAAUUAAAAAUACAUAAAACAAUGUAGUGAAUUAAUCUUUAAAUGUAACAUAUAUUUAUUCACUUAUUUAUUUCAUUGGUAUUCGUGCAGCACCUACUAUGUGCCAGAU
This 1639-nucleotide long non-coding RNA is filed under the name Homo sapiens (human). RNAcentral describes it as "non-protein coding lnc-ST6GAL2-2:1". The record is from RNAcentral. Lineage: Eukaryota; Metazoa; Chordata; Mammalia; Primates; Hominidae.